Molecule: ribosomal RNA, 481 nt
Filed under: uncultured bacterium
Lineage: Bacteria
Description: bacterial SSU rRNA
Rfam family: Bacterial small subunit ribosomal RNA
Source: RNAcentral
AUGCAAGUCGCACGAGAACGCUUCAGCUUGCUGAAGCUAGUAAAGUGGCGCACGGGUGAGUAACGCGUGGGUAAUCUACCUCCAAAUUGGGGAUAACAUUGCGAAAGCGAUGCUAAUACCGAAUGAUAUCUCAAAAACUUCGGUUUUUUGAGAUCAAAGGUGGCCUCUCCAUGGAAGCUACUGUUAGGAGAUGAGCCCGCGUACCAUUAGCUUGUUGGUAGGGUAAUUGCCUACCAAGGCAACGAUGGUUAGCUGGUCUGAGAGGAUGAUCAGCCACACUGGAACUGACACACGGUCCAGACUCCUACGGGAGGCAGCAGUGAGGAAUUUUGCGCAAUGGGGGAAACCCUGACGCAGCAACGCCGCGUGAGUGAUGAAGGCUUUCGGGUCGUAAAGCUCUGUCAAGUGGGAAGAACCUGCCCAGUGCUAAUAUCACCGGGCACUGACGGUACCACUGAAGGAAGCACCGGCUAACUCCGUG